Molecule: RNA transcript, 4835 nt
Organism: Triplophysa dalaica
Lineage: Eukaryota; Metazoa; Chordata; Actinopteri; Cypriniformes; Nemacheilidae
Exons: 11
Source: RefSeq, a predicted model, not a curated record
CAAUAACAAGUCUAGCAAUUUAUUUCAUUUAGUUAUGCAUGUACAAAAUAACACGUAUUACUAACUCUUCAAAUUGCAACUGUUGCAGGAACCAGGGUUGUAGCCACCAAUGAGGUUUCUGAUGUCGUUAUUUUUCGUUAUUAUAAAAAGUGAAAUAACUGUAUAGUUGGGCUAACAAUAUUGUACAAAAUGCAAAGGGAACUCAAAAACAAACACUUCACUCUCAAAGCUUGGGAUUGUGUUGUUUUGAAAGCGCAAAUGCGUCCUGCGGCAAAUCGUUGUGACGUCACACACAGCGUUGAGAAGCACAUCAGUUUGUUGAUAGUUAAAGUGAAGACAGAUCGCACGAGCAGUUACUAAUAAGACAGAUAUCGACACAAGAUUGAACGAUAACGAAAUACUCUGAAGUACUAAGUAAUACUCUGUGUAUUGAGAAGCUCUACAAGCACGACUGGUAAAAGAUCUUCGAAGACAUCGCUGUACAAGAAGCAGUUUCGCCAUUAACGUUACACGAUAUGCAAGAGCAACAUACAGAAGGAAACAAAAUGAAGGGUUCCUGCUUCAAGAGAGCAUGCAAGGCUAUAAAGGGCACAUUCUCUCGCCCCAAAAAGACGAAAGUGGUGCCCUUCGAACCGGAUCCAUCGGAUCUACAGCCAGAUCCAAUUGUCCAGCCACAUUUAUGUGUUUUUGAGCCAGUGCUCUUACAGGACCCUGCAGUUGAUUUAUUUCCUGCUUCCUGUAAUUUUGAGCAAACAACUCUUGAAGAUCUGGAUGAUCCUCAGCCUGGUCCAUCUGGACUUCACUCAGCAGCUCCUGAAGAACCUGCUGACCAUCAACCAGAACAACAAACGGCAAAAGACAAAAAGACGAAGGGUAGCCGUGCCGGCUUCAAGAGAGCAUGCAAGGCUAUAAAGGGAACAUUCUCUCGCCACAAAAAGACCAAAGUGGUGCCCUUCGAACCGGAUCCAUCGGAUCUACAGCCAGAUCCAAUUGUCCAGACACAUUUAUGUGUUUUUGAGCCAGUGCUCUUACAGGACCCUGCAGUUGAUUUAUUUCCUGCUUCCUGUAAUUUUGAGCAAACAAUUCUUGAAGAUCUGGAUGAUCCUCAGCCUGGUCCAUCUGGACUUCACUCAGCAGCUCCUGAAGAACCUGCUGACCAUCAACCAGAACAACAAACAGCAAAAGACAAAAAGACGAAGGGUAGCCGUGCCGGCUUCAAGAGAGCAUGCAAGGCUAUAAAGGGAAAAUUCUCUCGCCACAAAAAGACCAAAGUGGUGCCCUUCGAACCGGAUCCAUCGGAUCUACAGCCAGAUCCAAUUGUCCAGACACAUUUAUGUGUUUUUGAGCCUGUGGUCGUACAGGACCCUGCAGUUGAUUUAUUUCCUGCUUCCUGUCAUUUUGAGCAAACAACUCAUGAAGAUCUGGAUGAUCCUCAGCCUGGUCCAUCUGGAAUUCAGUCCGCAGUUCCUGAAGAACCUGUUGACCAUCAACCAGAACAACAAACAAAAGAACCUACUGAUCCGGAUCCAUCUGAUCUUCAGGCAGGUCCACCUGUACUCGAGCCAACAGUUUUAGAAGAACCAGCUGAAAUUCAGCCUGAACGAUCAGUUUCAUUGCUUUAUGAAGAGGGCCGAAUUUUAGGAAUAGGCUACUCUGGCGUUGUGUAUGAGGGGAUUCGCAAAUCCGAUGGACAGAAGGUUGCCAUCAAAAAAUUGAUUGGGACCAACGAUUUUCGCCUUAAUGUCCCUGGGUAUUCUAAGCCUCUGUUCAAGGAAGCGGCUAUACAUCUACAGCUCCACAAACGAGAGAAAUGCCCCAACAUCGUGCAGAUGUUAGACUGGUUUGAAGAAGAAGAGAGGUGCACCAUAGUUUUGGAGUACCCACAUCCCUGCUUGACCUUGUGGCACUUUUUGCAGCGUUAUUACGUGAGUGAAACGCUGGCUCGUCAUUUCAUAAGGCAAGUCGUGAUCGCAGCUCAACACUGGCUUGACCACGGUGUCAACCAUGGUGACCUGUCAUUGAAAAACGUCCUGAUCAAUACGGAAACGAAGCAGUUGAAAGUUAUAGACUUUGGAUGCAGCCUACUCAUCUCAACUAUCAACGACCUAACCUCAGGAUACUGUGACCAAGCUUAUGCGGCUGCAGAUACCGUCAAGGGUAUGGGUAAUUUGCUGAAGAAAAUAGAUUCUUGGAACGAGAUAUAUAAGUUGGUAUCUCGAGAGCAAGAAUACGUCCCAUUUUCAGAAGAAUGCAAAGACUUGAUAGAGCGGAGCACGUGCAGUAACCUGGCGGACAGGCUUUCAUUAGAUGAGUUCUCAGAUCACGAGUGGUUCAAGCAGGGAUAAAGGUCAGGUUUGGCUUUAUUGAGAGCUCUGCUACGUUCAGUUAAGAACCGCCCCUUUCACUUUACUUUUAAGCUUUUCCUCUUUGAAGGGAUGUUUUUUUAGGCUAAACAUUUCAAUUUUUGAAGUAAUUGUUGGUGUUCUACUAACUCUCCUUUAAUAAUGCCCGAGAAGGUAGCUGCCUGCUGAGUGCAGAAUGAGAACCACACAUCCCAACGCUUGGUGCGGACUGGCAGGCGUUCGACAGGGCGCCCAGAGUUGAUAAAGGCUCAACUCUGUACAGAACGCUUGCGGUUUCAGCCAAGCUCCUGCCGUUUUCAGCCGCAUAAAAGCGCCUCGGUGGAUUCAGGGCCUAAGGUGUACAGUGCACAGGAUGGACAUUAGUCGAGCCGAGCCCUGACGAAAGUGAAAGAUGGGGUUAGGGGUGUGUCUGUUUUGGUGAUUUCAACAUCAUCAAUGGCUAUGAGAAAUGGACGCCCCGCCUUUCAAAGACAGUCUAAAACAAUUAUUAAAUUGCUCAGAUGUUUUUGCCAUUAAACUGCCCUACUUGCAUAUUUUUGCACCAACGCUGCUUCUAGUUCCUCAUUGAACGUUUACAUGAACAGUAAUAUGAUUACAUGGUCAUGAUGAUUCCUUUAAGCUAUCCAAACUGGUAGAGUGCAUCGAGGACAUAAAACAUUGGAUGACUAGUAAUUUCCUCCUUUUAAACUCUAGCAAAACAGAAAUAUUACUUAUAGCACCAAAAUCAAGUAAACAGAAUAUCUCCGAUUACAGCCUGCAAAUUGAAAGCUGCACUAUUACUCCAACAAAUACAGUUAAAGACCUAGGCGUUAUAUUAGACGGCAACCUGUCAUUUAAAAAUCACAUCUCAAAUAUCACAAAAACAGCCUUCUUCCACCUUAGAAAUGUUCCCAAAUUACGAAAUAGUUUAUGUGUUGCAGACGCAGAAAAGCUUAUUCAUGCAUUUGUGACCUCACGGCUUGACUAUUGUAAUGCUCUACUUAGUGGUUGUCCUGUAUCAUCGAUAAACAAACUACAGUUAGUUCAGAAUGCAGCUGCCAGAGUUCUUACUAGGUCAAGAAAAUACGAUCACAUAACCCCAGUUUUAUCAUCGCUUCACUGGCUACCCAUUAAGUAUCGUAUUGAUUUUAAAAUUCUUUUAAUUACUUACAAAGCCCUGAACGGUUUAGCACCUACUUACUUAACCGAGCUUUUAUCACGUUACAACCCAUCAUGCUCUCUAAGAUCUCAAAACUUAGGACUUUUGACAACACCUAGAAUAACAAAAUCCACAAAAGGGGGACGAGCUUUCUCAUACGUAGCACCUAAACUCUGGAAUAGCCUUCCUGAUACUAUUCGAGGGUCAGACACACUCUCCCAAUUUAAAUCUAGAUUAAAGACACAUCUUUUCAGCCAAGCUUUAACUUAAAGCAUAGUUAAUGAACAGCAGCUACGCUAAUUAUUCUCUUUAUUCUCUUUCCGCCUCUGCCUCGGAAUGCCCAUCCCGAGGUAGGAAGAAGUUCUACCAUGUCCAGGCGACCGAUUGAUGCCCAUCCCCAAUUUGAGAUUAUGCCAGAUACAGCUGCAGACUGACUGACCAUCCCAGCUCCAUCUAAGGCAAUUCCACCACCAGCCAAGAGAAAUAUGACCAUCGGACCAUCCCAGCUCAGACCACUACAUCCCCAACCAAGAGCAAAGACGGACUAUUUGUCUUAUUAAUGCUGAAGUUACAAUAUUUGGUAUUAAAUGCUAAACCUAAACCACAUGUCAGCAGUCUGAGUGCAGCUAUGACACGUCAGAGGGGAUGUGGCCCUUCCGGUUGAGCCUGGUUUCUCCCGAGGUUUUUUUCUCCAUUAAUCAAUCAUUGGAGUUUGGGUUCCUCGCCACAGCAGGGCAGUGUUGGCCUGCUCACCGGGAGACUGCAUUCAUUCAUUUAUUUAUUUAUUUAAUUAGAAUUUAGAUAUCAUUUAUUAGAAUGAUCUUACUCGUUGUAUAAAUACCAUGCACUGUGCUGUGUUUUAACUUCUCUGUUUUCCUGUUUGCCCUGUAAAGCUGCUUUAAAACAAUACACACUGUGAAAAGCGCUAUAUAAAUAAUCUUGAAUUGAAUUGAAUUACAUGGACAAUGUUUAAAGCGGCCAUUGCAUGCGAUCAAAUUUUUCAAACUUUAGUGAGUGAGUAAUAUUGUUAUUAUAGCAUAAAUAAUACCUUCAAAAGGAUAAAGCUCAAAGUUAAAUGCCAAGCGAGAUAUUGUCUUCAACAGAAUUAGCUUUUCAAGGACUACAGAGAACAGCUGGAAUCGGACUACAGCCCUCUACUUCCCGGGUACAUGAUGUCACCAUUCCGUGUGGUUUUAAUAACCUCCGCCCAAAGGAAUACACCAAAAAGGGGGGAAGCCUUCCUUAAAGAAGGGUACUCCGCUGGAGUAGUGUUUGGUUAUCAGAGAUAGUAAACAUUUGACUGAGCUACAGUGCCUUGCAAAAGUAUUCGGCCG